UGUGUGUCUGUGUCUGUCUGUCUGUCUCUGUGACUUCAGGGCUUCGUCAGGAGUGUAGGCGACACUGGACCACUGGAACCAGGCGAAUGACCAGGCCCUGCAGCUGAUCAAGGGCCUAAAGGUGCACAGGGAGCCAAAGGGGUCAAAGGAGAAGAGGGACCCGCAGGACAACAGGGUAUCCAAGGAGAGCCAGAGAAGAGGGGAAACUGUGGAUUUCCAGGCGCUCGAGGACCCAGUGGACAAAAGAUGUUCUACACUGGAGCUGGAAUGAACCCUGUCAGAUCCUUCGCUCCUGCUACGUUCAAGAGGAACUCCAUGAACCACUGGGUAAGAAAAAUAUAUACAAAUUAUAUACAAACAUGCUCAUAGUCUCGCAUUGUUUGUAAACUACUUUCAAUUCAGAUAUAAUAGAUGUAAUAGUGUUACAUUGUUUUAGUCUUUUACAGAAUGUGCAAUGCACUGCAUGUAUUUCUCAGUUGCUCACAUGUAACUAUAAUAUGGUUUCUGUUCUUCCCUCAUCGUGCCUGUGCCCGUCGUUC
Engraulis encrasicolus (European anchovy) is the source of this 539-nucleotide long non-coding RNA. RefSeq lists it as uncharacterized. The transcript has 4 exons. The record is from RefSeq and is a predicted model, not a curated record. Lineage: Eukaryota; Metazoa; Chordata; Actinopteri; Clupeiformes; Engraulidae.